Molecule: ribosomal RNA, 495 nt
Filed under: uncultured bacterium
Lineage: Bacteria
Description: partial 16S ribosomal RNA
Rfam family: Bacterial small subunit ribosomal RNA
Source: RNAcentral
AUUGAACGCUGGCGGAAUGCUUUACACAUGCAAGUCGAACGGUAGAGGGGGCAACCCCUCGAGAGUGGCGAACGGGUGAGUAAUAUAUCGGAACGUGCCCAGUCGUGGGGGAUAACGUAGCGAAAGUUACGCUAAUACCGCAUACGAUCUAAGGAUGAAAGCGGGGGAUCGCAAGACCUCGCGCGAUUGGAGCGGCCGAUAUCAGAUUAGGUAGUUGGUGGGGUAAAGGCUCACCAAGCCAACGAUCUGUAGCUGGUCUGAGAGGACGACCAGCCACACUGGAACUGGGACACGGGCCAGACUCCUACGGGAGGCAGCAGUGGGGAAUUUUGGACAAUGGACGCAAGUCUGAUCCAGCCAUUCCGCGUGCAGGAUGAAGGCCUCGGGUUGUAAACUGCUUUUGUACGGAACGAGAAGGUCUCUCUUAAUACGGGGGACUCAUGACGGUACCGUAAGAAUAAGCACCGGCUAACUACGAGCCAGCCGCCGCUGUAA